ACAUUGAUGGUUCAGUGGUAGAAUUCUUACCUACCAUGCCGGGGACCUGGGUUCGAUUCCCAGUCAAUGCA
Molecule: transfer RNA, 71 nt
Filed under: Loxodonta africana (African savanna elephant)
Lineage: Eukaryota; Metazoa; Chordata; Mammalia; Proboscidea; Elephantidae
Rfam family: tRNA
About the family: Transfer RNA (tRNA) molecules are approximately 80 nucleotides in length. Their secondary structure includes four short double-helical elements and three loops (D, anti-codon, and T loops). Further hydrogen bonds mediate the characteristic L-shaped molecular structure. tRNAs have two regions of fundamental functional importance: the anti-codon, which is responsible for specific mRNA codon recognition, and the 3' end, to which the tRNAs corresponding amino acid is attached (by aminoacyl-tRNA synthetases). tRNAs cope with the degeneracy of the genetic code in two manners: having more than one tRNA (with a specific anti-codon) for a particular amino acid; and 'wobble' base-pairing, i.e. permitting non-standard base-pairing at the 3rd anti-codon position.
Source: Rfam by way of RNAcentral